CUGUGCUAACCUUCGGGAGGCAGGCGCCUAGGGCGAACUUCGUGAUUGGGACUAAGUCGUAACAAGGUAGCCGUAGGGGAACCUGCGGCUGGAUCACCUCCUUUCUAAGGA
RNAcentral lists this ribosomal RNA (111 nucleotides) under Fuerstiella sp. RNAcentral describes it as "partial 16S ribosomal RNA". It matches the Rfam family "Bacterial small subunit ribosomal RNA", at positions 1430 to 1533 of the family's 1533-position model. The record is from RNAcentral. Lineage: Bacteria; Pseudomonadati; Planctomycetota; Planctomycetia; Planctomycetales; Planctomycetaceae.